RNAcentral lists this ribosomal RNA (392 nucleotides) under uncultured bacterium. RNAcentral's name for it is "bacterial SSU rRNA". It matches the Rfam family "Bacterial small subunit ribosomal RNA", at positions 29 to 416 of the family's 1533-position model. The record is from RNAcentral.
AUUGAACGCUGGCGGAAUGCUUUACACAUGCAAGUCGGGCGGCAGCGCGGGGGCAACCCUGGCGGCGAGCGGCGAACGGGUGAGUAAUACAUCGGAACGUGUCCUUGAGUGGGGGAUAGCUCGGCGAAAGCCGGAUUAAUACCGCAUAAGCUCUGAGGAGGAAAGGCGGGGGACUGGUAACGGCCUCGCGCUGUUGGAGCGGCCGAUGUCGGAUUAGCUAGGUUGGUAGGGGUAAAGGCCCACCAAGGCGACGAUCCGUAGCUGGUCUGAGAGGAUGAUCAGCCACACUGGAACUGAGACACGGUCCAGACUCCUACGGGAGGGCAGCAGUGGGGAAUUUUGGACAAUGGGGGCAACCCUGAUCCAGCCAUUCCGCGUGAGUGAAGAAGGCC